Molecule: transfer RNA, 76 nt
Filed under: Streptomyces atratus
Lineage: Bacteria; Bacillati; Actinomycetota; Actinomycetes; Kitasatosporales; Streptomycetaceae
Description: tRNA-Ala
Rfam family: tRNA
About the family: Transfer RNA (tRNA) molecules are approximately 80 nucleotides in length. Their secondary structure includes four short double-helical elements and three loops (D, anti-codon, and T loops).
Source: RNAcentral
GGGGCUAUAGCUCAGUUGGUAGAGCACCUGCAUGGCAUGCAGGGGGUCAGGAGUUCAAAUCUCCUUAGCUCCACAA